GGCAGUUUAGUUUAAUGGUAAAACACUUGAUGCGUAAUCACUGAGAUGUGAGUUCGAGUCUCAUGACUGGCCA
This is a non-coding RNA of Octopus bimaculoides (California two-spot octopus), 73 nucleotides long. Lineage: Eukaryota; Metazoa; Mollusca; Cephalopoda; Octopoda; Octopodidae. The record is from Rfam.